Molecule: ribosomal RNA, 435 nt
Filed under: uncultured bacterium
Lineage: Bacteria
Description: partial 16S ribosomal RNA
Rfam family: Bacterial small subunit ribosomal RNA
Source: RNAcentral
GAUGAACGCUGGCGGUAUGCUUAACACAUGCAAGUCGAACGGACUCUUCGGAGUUAGUGGCGGACGGGUGAGUAACGCGUGAGAAUCUGGCUUUGGGUUCGGGACAACCACUGGAAACGGUGGCUAAUACCGGAUGUGCCGAGAGGUAAAAGAGAAAUUGCCUGAAGAUGAGCUCGCGUCUGAUUAGCUAGUUGGUGAGGUAAAGGCUCACCAAGGCAGCGAUCAGUAGCUGGUCUGAGAGGAUGACCAGCCACACUGGGACUGAGACACGGCCCAGACUCCUACGGGAGGCAGCAGUGGGGAAGUUUCCGCAAUGGGCGAAAGCCUGACGGAGCAAUACCGCGUGAGGGAAGAAGGCUCUUGGGUUGUAAACCUCUUUUCUUAGGGAAGAACAAAAUGACGGUACCUAAGGAAUCAGCAUCGGCUAACUCCGUG